This 450-nucleotide ribosomal RNA is filed under the name uncultured bacterium. Its description in RNAcentral is "bacterial SSU rRNA". It matches the Rfam family "Bacterial small subunit ribosomal RNA", at positions 335 to 796 of the family's 1533-position model. The record is from RNAcentral.
ACUCCUACGGGAGGCAGCAGUGGGGAAUCUUGGACAAUGGGCGCAAGCCUGAUCCAGCCAUGCCGCGUGAGCGAUGAAGGCCUUAGGGUCGUAAAACUCUUUCGCCAGGGAUGAUAAUGACAGUACCUGGUAAAGAAACCCCGGCUAACUCCGUGCCAGCAGCCGCGGUAAUACGGAGGGGGUUAGCGUUGUUCGGAAUUACUGGGGCGUAAAGCGCGCGUAGGCGGACUAGUUAGUCAGAGGUGAAAUCCCGGGGGCUCAACCCCGGAACUGCCUUUGAUACUGCUAGUCUUGAGUUCGAGAGAGGUGAGUGGAAUUCCGAGUGUAGAGGUGAAAUUCGUAGAUAUUCGGAGGAACACCAGUGGCGAAGGCGGCUCACUGGCUCGAUACUGACGCUGAGGUGCGAAAGUGUGGGGAGCAAACAGGAUUAGAUACCCUGGUAGGAAAGCC